CGAAUGCCAUACUCGGCGGGUCAACACACUCCGCGGUCGAGGUGAGGAAGCCGGUUCGAAUCCGGCACGGUCGCGCCACUGUGAGGGCCCCCACGGGCCCGAGUCAGACACUCACCCGCCGCUUCGAUGGGGA
RNAcentral lists this non-coding RNA (133 nucleotides) under Mobilicoccus pelagius. The record is from RNAcentral. RNAcentral also lists the same sequence under 1 other name. Lineage: Bacteria; Bacillati; Actinomycetota; Actinomycetes; Micrococcales; Dermatophilaceae.